RNAcentral lists this ribosomal RNA (698 nucleotides) under uncultured Planctomycetales bacterium. Its description in RNAcentral is "bacterial SSU rRNA". It matches the Rfam family "Bacterial small subunit ribosomal RNA", at positions 94 to 827 of the family's 1533-position model. The record is from RNAcentral. Lineage: Bacteria; Pseudomonadati; Planctomycetota; Planctomycetia; Planctomycetales.
AGUGGCGAAAGGGCGAGGAAUACGAUCGAACGUGCCCCAAGGUGGGGGAUAGCGUCGGGAAACUGGCGGUAAUACCCCAUGUGCUCGCGAGAGGAAAGCUUCGGCGCCUCGGGAGCGGCGAUCGUCCUAUCAGGUAGUUGGCGGGGUAACGGCCCACCAAGCCGAAGACGGGUAGCGGGUGUGAGAGCACGACCCGCCGCAUCGGGGCUGAGACACUGCCCGGACUCCUACGGGAGGCUGCAGCAACGAAUCUUCCGCAAUGGGCGCAAGCCUGACGGAGCAAUGCCGCGUGUGGGAUGAAGCGGCUUCGCCGUGUAAACCACUGUCAGGACCUCGGAACACUGACCAGGUCCAGAGGAAGGGCCGGCUAACCUCGUGCCAGCAGCCGCGGUAAGACGAGGGGCCCGAGCGUUAUUCGGAAUCACUGGGCUUAAAGCGUGCGCAGGCGGAUCGGCAGGCAUCUCGUGAAAUCCCCCGGCUCAACCGGGGAAUUGCGGGGUGAACCGCCGGUCUUGAGGCGGGUAGGGGCGGACGGAACCAUGCGUGGAGCGGUGAAAUGCUUAGAUAUGCAUGGGAACACCGAUGGCGAAGGCAGUCCGCUGGGCCCGUCCUGACGCUCAGGCACGAAAGCGUGGGGAGCAAACAGGAUUAGAUACCCUGGUAGUCCACGCCGUAAACGAUGCGCACUAGAUCGGGGA